AACGAACGCUGGCGGCAUGCCUAACACAUGCAAGUCGAACGAGACCUUCGGGUCUAGUGGCGCACGGGUGCGUAACGCGUGGGAACCUGCCCUUAGGUUCGGAAUAACUCCCCGAAAGGGGUGCUAAUACCGGAUAAUGUCUUCGGCCCAAAGAUUUAUCGCCUUUGGAUGGGCCCGCGUUGGAUUAGCUAGUUGGUAGGGUAAAAGCCUACCAAGGCGACGAUCCAUAGCUGGUCUGAGAGGAUGAUCAGCCACACUGGGACUGAGACACGGCCCAGACUCCUACGGGAGGCAGCAGUGGGGAAUAUUGGACAAUGGGCGGAAGCCUGAUCCAGCAAUGCCGCGUGAGUGAUGAAGGCCUUAGGGUUGUAAAGCUCUUUUACCCGGGAUGAUAAUGACAGUACCGGGAGAAUAAGCUCCGGCUAACUCCGUG
This 433-nucleotide ribosomal RNA is filed under the name uncultured bacterium. RNAcentral's name for it is "partial 16S ribosomal RNA". It matches the Rfam family "Bacterial small subunit ribosomal RNA", at positions 29 to 507 of the family's 1533-position model. The record is from RNAcentral.